This 1023-nucleotide long non-coding RNA is filed under the name Fragaria vesca (wild strawberry). Its description in RNAcentral is "long non-coding RNA (FVES_LNC004991)". Lineage: Eukaryota; Viridiplantae; Streptophyta; Magnoliopsida; Rosales; Rosaceae. The record is from RNAcentral.
GCUUUUGAAGUGUCUUUCUUAUGUAGGGAUAGAAUAAGCCUCAACCUUUCAUACCAUUAAGUAUUGAAAAAAGAGUUACUGCCAUUACAUUGGCGUUGCGUGGGCGCAUAGCUACACUUAGCUUUACAACUUUUCAUAGCGAAUGAGAUGUCAAGUCUUUCAUAUUGUGUUGAGUACAUUGAUGCGUCUAAUUGUACUUAGAUGGGAACUCCAUCUCUUAACACAUAUUUGUCAUCUUAUCUCUUAACACAUAUUUGUCAUCUUGCUUUAGACAAAACAACGGAUCUCUCUUUAGAGCAAAGACCUUAACUAAUCAUGGGAGUAUAUGUAGGCCGCACUAGUUAUAGAGUGCCUAAGCCGAUUGAUGGAAAAUCAUCAUCAAUACAGUCAUCGAGUGCCUUAUCGAGACCAUGUCUUCCCAAGAUCUUUUUCUUCGGAUGUUGAUACAUAUUGGCAUCUCUUGAUCCAUCAAGGGUCCAUGUAAAUCCGGAAUGAACACGCAAAGGCAUAAUUCACCAUAUCCCUUCCAAAUCAAGUAGAGUCCAUGUGCGUUUCAAUACAUUUAGCAAACGCAUUCUCCUGUGGUUUGGAGCCACUUGAUUCGGAUGAAUGAAGUCCGUUUAAGAUCUUCAUGUAUAUCUCUGAUCCCAUAGAGAUGUUAUUAUGACCACAUUCAUAGGCUGCAUGUUCAGUUAUUCGGAAACUACCAAACUGACAAAGUAGUGGAGUUCAAUGACAUUCAUUACGAGAGCAUAUCUCAUCGUAGUUGAUCCCAGUGCGUGUUAGUGAAAGACCUUGCGCCAUAAGGUGAGUCUAAGCUCUUACUCUCACUACGCUAUCUAACAAAGGCAUAGUUGAUAGGGUUUAGCUUGCGGUGUCGGCAUCACCUGCCCAAGGACCUAUCUCUUUGUUAAUGCUGGAUCGCAUCUUUCCAUUAGGCCAAUCAACUAAGUUGAUAUCCAUCAACGAAGGGUGGUUCGAUAGUAGACUCAUUAUCUCACGUCCUCAUGUACACUAGUGUAA